GAGCCAGGCGGCGGGGACUAGAAAGAUGGUGAACUAGACCUGAGCGGGGCGAAGCCAGAGGAAACUCUGGUGGAGGCUCGAAGCGAUACUGACGUGCAAAUCGUUCGUCUGACUUGGGUAUAGGGGCGAAAGACUAAUCGAACCAUCUAGUAGCUGGUUCCCUCCGAAGUUUCCCUAAGGAUAGCUGGAGCCCAUUACGAG
Molecule: non-coding RNA, 201 nt
Organism: Hordeum vulgare subsp. vulgare (domesticated barley)
Lineage: Eukaryota; Viridiplantae; Streptophyta; Magnoliopsida; Poales; Poaceae
Source: Rfam